AGACGUUACGUAUCACUUUCUGGGGGUGGAAUUCUCAGUUCUGAACUAGAUAUCAUUCCUUUUGGAAUAAUCUUGACAUGAGAAUGUAUGCUCUAAUGAACAUGAGAGCUGAAUUUCAUCAAGAACAAACUAAGUUCUACUCAGCCUGCCCUUGGCCUGAUCUGGAUUUCAUUGGCUUAGUAUAUGAGAUGGGACACUGCGCUGCUGCCCUGCUUUAGCUCCAGCUCUGAAUAACUCCUCUGUGAAGACGAUGACACCAUCAGUAACCAGUCACUAACAUGACUGUAUUCCUCCUGAUGAACAUAGACAAUUGAUUGUUACCUUCUCCAUUCAGCUUGUGAAAGAUAAAACUGUAAUGAUAAAAAAAACUCAAAGUGACUCCAGUGAGAAGCUCUUUUUAUCUUUGUUUUCUUCUUUUCUGAGUGACUGUUAAUGAAAUUUUCAGUGUUCUUAUAAUAUUAAGC
Molecule: long non-coding RNA, 464 nt
Filed under: Numida meleagris (helmeted guineafowl)
Lineage: Eukaryota; Metazoa; Chordata; Aves; Galliformes; Numididae
Description: lncRNA (ENSNMEG00000015032.1)
Source: RNAcentral